AAAAAAUUCAUGCACAGUCCAUACUUGAAGGGUAGAAGUUAUACAAUCCCCCUUUUAGAGUGGAAUAGCCAUGUAAAGUGGAAUUCUGCAUGGGAGAUUUGCUUUCCUUCCCCAUUUUUAAAUUUAUUCAGUCAUUUCUUUACCUCAGUAUGGACUCAUGGAUAUUUUAUUAUUAGAUGUACUUCUUUGCCAGCACCAUCACAACUGGGACACAGAAAACUGCUCCUUCCCUCAAAAUCCUCCCCUUCAUGGCAUUUGGCAGUGAACCCCUUCCCCCUUUCUGACCUCUGGAAGCCACUGAUUGGUCCUCAGACCUUCUUUUUUGCCUUUCUCAGAAUGCCAUACAAAUAGAACUGUACAGUGGUAGCCUUUUACUUGACAUAAUUAUCUGGAGACUCAUCCAUGUUGUUGUGUUUAUCAGUAGUUUUUUUUUGUUGUUGUUGUUGUUAUUGCUGAAUAGUAUUCUACUCACCUGAGGGUGGCCAUUUGAGUUGUUUUCCAUUUGGGAUGAUUAUGAAAGAAACUAAAUAUUCAUGUAUAGUUUUUCAUUUGCACAUAAGUUUUCAUUUUUUCUAAAUAUCCAUGAGUAGAGUGGCUGGGUAGUAGAACACAUACCUAUUUUUUAUAAGAAACUGCCAAACUGUUUUUCAGAGUGCUCACACCACUUUUCAUUCUCUCCAACAGUGUAUGAAAGUUCCUGUUGCUCCACAUUCCUGCCAGCCUUUGGUUUCUUUCUUUUUCUUCCCCUUAAUUUUAGCCAUUCAAAUGGGUAUGUAGUGGUAUUUCAUUAUGGGUUUAAUUUAGAAUUCCUUAAAAGCUAAUGUUGUGCAUCUUUUUGUAAUUGCCAUCUAUAUUUCUACUUAGGUGAAAUGUCUG
RNAcentral lists this long non-coding RNA (876 nucleotides) under Marmota monax (woodchuck). The record is from RNAcentral. Lineage: Eukaryota; Metazoa; Chordata; Mammalia; Rodentia; Sciuridae.